AACGAACGCUGGCGGCAUGCCUAACACAUGCAAGUCGAACGAGACCUUCGGGUCUAGUGGCGCACGGGUGCGUAACGCGUGGGAACCUGCCCUUAGGUUCGGAAUAACUCCCCGAAAGGGGUGCUAAUACCGGAUAAUGUCUUCGGACCAAAGAUUGAUCGCCUUUGGAUGGGCCCGCGUUGGAUUAGCUAGUUGGUAGGGUAAAAGCCUACCAAGGCGACGAUCCAUAGCUGGUCAGAGAGGAUGAUCAGCCACACUGGGACUGAGACACGGCCCAGACUCCUACGGGAGGCAGCAGUGGGGAAUAUUGGACAAUGGGCGAAAGCCUGAUCCAGCUAUGCCGCGUGAGUGAUGAAGGCCGUAGGGUAGUAAAGCUCUUUUACCCGGGAUGAUAAUGACAGUACCGGGAGAAUAAGCUCCGGCUAACUCCGUG
Molecule: ribosomal RNA, 433 nt
Filed under: uncultured bacterium
Lineage: Bacteria
Description: partial 16S ribosomal RNA
Rfam family: Bacterial small subunit ribosomal RNA
Source: RNAcentral